Molecule: non-coding RNA, 291 nt
Organism: Oryzias latipes (Japanese medaka)
Lineage: Eukaryota; Metazoa; Chordata; Actinopteri; Beloniformes; Adrianichthyidae
Source: RefSeq, a predicted model, not a curated record
CCAGCUGAACUGAAUGAACGCAAUCAGCGCGGAAGCUGGGAACGCUUAAAACGGCGUUUCACCACUGCGUGUGUAAGAACUGAGCUGGAUGACGGCAGUUUCCACGAACUUGGAUGCUAAACUCAAACCACUGCGUGAGUGGGGCUUGGACUAUAAAGGGCUACUGGUUUUUCACCUAUCCCCACUACUUCCUACUUCCUACUUCCUAUUUUCAACAAUGUUCAAUAACUUCCAACUACUACCACCUACUGCCAACUACUGUUGCUAAUAAAAGACUUGGAAAGAGUGAAA